This is a long non-coding RNA of Peromyscus californicus insignis, 6150 nucleotides long. RefSeq lists it as uncharacterized. The transcript is spliced from 6 exons. The record is from RefSeq and is a predicted model, not a curated record. Lineage: Eukaryota; Metazoa; Chordata; Mammalia; Rodentia; Cricetidae.
UCCAGGGCCGCAGUUUGAUUGACGAGGUCCGCAUGGGAGCGCAGACGUGUCACGCAGACUCGCGGGUUCCUGAGCCUCUUGGGCGGUGAUCAUAGCGCACCGCGGGCCAACAGGGGGAGCAGGCGGGAGCGCUCCCCCCUCCCCGCACCUCAGACCCCCAUUUUAGAAUAUCCUUAGGAGGGCUGGCUGCUCUGACCUCGGCUUGAACUCCUUCAGGGCCAGAGAGAUCACUCCUUCCACCACUAAGACAAGGAGGCAAAGUGCGUUUGCUGGCUUUGAAUUCAUGCUCAAAGCUCUGACGGGUCUGGCAGCGGUGAACUCAGCCUGGAAUUCCUGAGGGCAGACUGCGGCUCAGAUCCACAGGGACGUGGGGCAGGGGGUGUCUGAGUGUGGGGAAACUACUUCUCCCGAGACAAAUUCUGCCUCCUGCUGCCAUUGGCUGCGGGAUGGAGGUCGGGGUGGGGCGGUGCUCCUGGACCUCGGUCCUCGGACCUGUCACACAGGAUGAACAGUUAGCAACUUGCUCCACUACCCACCCACAGGUGGCAGAUGAGUAUCCUUGGGGAAAGUGGGUGGCAUGAAACCAUUUCCAGACCUCUAGGGACACUGGAAUGGCCUGGUCCCAGCACAUUUCCAAGAACACACACACACACACACACACACACACACACACACACACACACACACCACAGCCUGUGGGUGGCCAAGGUUGGGAAGGGUAGUCUGAGAAAUCCUGGACAGCUUGACUUGAAAGGUGAGGAUUCCGUUUUCUAAAUGGAGCCACAGCCAUCCUGCCCUCAGACCUUCACAGCAUUGGUACACCCAGAAGGACACCUCCAUCCCCAGCACCUAAGUCCCUGUCAGACUUGGGAUGCAAGAAUCCAGCCCCAACCAACACCUGGGUCAGGCCUGUUGGCCUUGAUGACCACCUGGGUCAUCAAACCUCUCCAAAUCCUUCUGUAAGUAACCAGAGCUAGCCACCUCCAGGAAGUGGAGGAAAUGGUGACCUCAGGUGAACAUUCAUGUUCAAAAGCUCCUGUCCAGAAGGCUCCACCCCCUUUUUUUUUCUUAAAAAUUGCAUUGUAUUUAUUUAUUUGAGGAGAGGGAUACACAUGAAGGUCAAAGAACUGCUUUUGGGAAUCACUUCUCCCCGUGUAUCAAUGUAGGUCCUUCCUGGGGAUUGAUCCUCAGGCUUGGCAGCAAAAGCCUUUCCCAAAGAUGAGCCAUCUUGCUGGUUCCCCCACCCCUUAUUUCUAGCCAACAUGUUAAUCUGGAAACCCGGAAAUGGCUGCAGAGGGCAGAGGAGCCCAGCAAGACAGAGUCAACCUUGUUUUCAGCUUUCCCAGUCAGUCCACCAAGCAUGGCACCUUGGGGGCAAGAAGUCUGAGAAAUCAGACUUGUGAGGGCCCCAGGCUGCAAGCCUUGGGGAUCCCAGGCCAUUGUUCUCUCUAUUCCUCUGCCCAGGAAGCUGCUAGUCCUGUUGGUUGGCUCCCUCUGGAGUCUUAGAAGGUAUGACUUAUUUGGUGCCUACUAUGUGCUGAGUGAGGACAUCAUAGGCAUUAACUUAUUGCCUGGAGUUAGGGACAUUACUAUCCCCUCCAAAGAAAAGAGGAUUGUAAAUACCAUCCCCACGCUGUUCAGGCCCUCAUUAACGUGGCUUCCUGUGAGCCAACAACCCAAGCUCUGCACCCUUAGCCAGAAAUUCUGUGUGGCCCUAGACGAGUUGUUCUCCCUUUCUGGGCCCUCUAUAAACUAAAGGCUAGAUCUCAUAGCAGCCAUCAAGCCUUGCUGUUCUCUAUGCCCUGAGUUCCCAAUCUCGGCCUCAGCUGCAGUAGGCCUGGGUUGAAACAGAGAGGUGGAAAGUGCAUUCUGCCUGAUGGGUGAAGGUUCCUGUAUUCCCCCCUGGCUCUGAAGGCAGUGUCUGUACCCACCAGAGUGUGGACUGUGCAAUGCAAUCUCAGCUUACACCCACCUUCCCAUCAGGCCUAAGUACCUCUUGUUUCCUACCCUCAUAGAACCAUCAAGUCUGAGGAAGAGAGCCACUGCUUAGGUGGGACCUGAGCCUGGGUCCCAGGAAGCAGGAAGUCCAAGGGUCAGGAGGAAGGCUGUGAUGGGAGGUGUGAGCAACCUGAGUAUGCAGAGGAUCUGUGCAGGCAGGGUGUAGCGAGUAUGACCUCUGGACCAGGCUGCCAUCAGUGGGUUGAGGUAGGAACAAGCAUGCAGGUACCAGUUCCUGCCUCUCUCCUCCUGGAGCCAAAAGGUAUGUGAAAAUCCAUCUCGCUGCUCCCGUGGGCCAGGUGCUUUGGCACUCCGUCUCCUUCUGUGUCUCCAGGCCGAAGGAAGAGCACAGAGGUUGACUGGCUGCUGGGGGUCGGGGGUUGGGUAGGGUUCCAGGUGUGGCCGCACCCCUGAGCUCAUCUCAUGACCAAGUAUGGUACAGCUGAGGUGAUUUUUGAAGUGCUUUGGGGGAAGAUAUAAGCACCUGCUAGAUCUCUGUCUAAGCCCUUCCUAGACAGUGAGUAAUGGGAACAUAAUUAGUCUUCACCUGUGGUUGGACCGGGACCCUUUGGAUCCUGCCCAGCUCUGUACCUAUACCUCAUAGGAGUAGAUAGUUGAUCCACCACAGAAAGCCUGUACCCUCUAGCAUGGAGCCUCUAUGUUCCAGCUAGAUUCUCCUCCCUUCUCUGAACACUAGACAACUGAGGCAUCCUAAGAAGAUUCCCAGUAUAUGAUCAGCUAGGACUUAUUUGUAUUGGUUUCUUCAUGGAGGUGGGGCACUUUGAGACGAAGUCUUGCUGUGUAGCCCAGGCUGGCCUUUGAACUCAGAGUUCUGUGUCUGCCGAGUGCUAGGAUUACAGCUGUGAGCCACCACACCCAGCUGGGACGUGCCAUCUUGUCUUGUCAUCCUCUGAUCCUCACAAUGGCACUUCUCUGGGUGACUGAGAUGACACAGAGGGAGGCGGUGGCUUUCACUGGGCCACAGGACUGGGAAGUACAGAGAGAGCAUGAAAGGUGGGCCACUUCCUGCAGCACCCUCUCCCGACGCCAGCGCUCCACCAAACAGCAAGCUGGGACUGGUGUAUGAAGGCCAGCUGGGGAGAUAAAUGCAGCAUGCCAGGGGUGGAGUACAGUGGCUUCCUGCCUUCAUCCUGCAGCACCUUCACCCUGCAAAGGAGCUCAGGCCUGACGUCUCACAUAUGCAUGCUUUUUACACCCUCUUGCCCUAACCUGUCUUCAGGUUCUUCAUGCUCGGUGGCUUCCAGAAGUACCGCCAUCACAUGCGUACAACUCCUUGCCUGCUUCUGUGCACGCUCCCUUUGUCUCCUAGGACACACCCAUCCCAGCCUUCCAGUCCAUGUCUGCAGCCACCUGCUCAGGAGCCUACUCUGAUGAUACCACCAGCCAAGCCGUCUACAUCACCUCCAUCCCUGAAUGCUGCCAGACUGCCUCCAUAUCAGUAUGACGGUAGAGACUGCCUGUUAAGUUCCUGCUGUGGGCAGGUCCUCAGUAGCUCAUGCACUUGAGUUCUGGUCCUCACGUGAGCUGAGAAUUAGUACUAAUGGCUCCAUUUUACUGAUAAGAAAACUGAGGCAUAGGAACUCUCAGUUGCCAGUGUUACACCUCAUGGUGGAAACCACCCAGUCCCCCCACCUCUAGAGGUAGAAUAGAGGUUGCUCUAUACUGUCACCCAGUUACUUUACAAGCAGUCAAGUACAGCAGAGACAGAGACACACAUGGACAGACCAGGCUCCCAUGAAGGAUUGCCCAGAUGCCGUUCUUCAGGUUUAGGGAAGAAAAAUCACUGGUGUUGAACAGCAAAGGCGGGAUUAGUAUCCAGGCUCCCAAAGUGACUGGCAUUCCUGCACCUUGCAACUGUGCUCUUUUUGAAGGAUGCACAGUCCCAGGCGCCUUGAUGAUGCUGAGCUGCUCAGCGAGUGGCUUCUUCUCCCCUCAAUUAAAAUGAGAGAGAAGAAAGAAGAGAAACUAAGACAUUGUUCUCAACUGCAGCUGGUGACAAAUAGAACCGGGACCCAGCUGCAUAGGAUGGAGCAGGAGCCGGCCACCCAGAGGCCUGGCCUCACCCCUUCUGCAAGGAUCAGAUGUCACGGGGAGGGCUGGAGGACCACUGCCUCCAUCAUGCCUCCCUUCAUCAUGCAACUGCAGCCUUGGAAAGAUCCUGGAGGCAGCGGGACGGAGGAGGACAGACGGACGGCCACCGAUGGGAUUUCAAUUAGAAAAAUUCAGUGACCCUCACCAAGAGCAAGAACCAUAGAUGUUCUCUGCUGCCCACCUGGGACAGAAUUUCCAGACUUUGGCCUCCUCCAGCAGGCAGGCAUCCCCACCAAGGCAUCAGGCACGUGUGAUGCCAACACAGAGGUUUCAGAUGGGCUCACCUACCACUAUAGCAUCAGCAGAGCAACCUCCAUCUGUCCUAGACAGAUUAGAAGAUUCGCUGGGCCAGGACUCGCCUGAAUUCCAAGUCAACAAAAUCUGAGAUAAUGUGAAAUAGUUUCUGGCUUAAAACACCAAGUUUCAGGGGAGCUUAUUACAGAGGAUUUAACUGGAUACCAGUAUUCUUCUUGUCCCUCUAAAUCCUGGUGGAAUCCGGCCUGUGAAAGUACUGGAGCAGAGGGAGACACUAACCUGGGGACGGAAAGCCAUCACCAUUUUACAGGCUGGAAGACUGAGGCCUGAAGGCAAAAGUGUUUUCUUUGCCUAGGAUCCAAAAGCAAGAAGGUGGCAGAAGAGCUGGCUUGGAGCCAGCCACCAGCCAUGGAAAGAAGGCAGCUAAGUGCUGGAAUUUACCUGGCUGCAUCCUCAAAGGGCCUGGAAGGCAGGAAGGAGGCAGCCAUUUCUGCGUGAGCCUCGCUGUGCCAGCCCCGUGCUGAGGAUCUCAUUUGGCCCUUGGGAUAGGCUAGAUGUUGUUCUAAGAGCUUUGUGUGGAUUGGCUCAUUUUGAUGAAUUUAAUCCUUCCUGUAUCCUUGCUGUUGUAUAAUUGUUCCCAUUUUAAAGACAGGUUAGCUGAGGCAAUAGAAGUAAAAUAAUGUGUCCAAGGUCCCACAGUCCUCAUGGGCUUUGUUGAACCCCAACUUUAUAAUGUCUUAGCAAUGGGGAUCUUUAUCAUCAUUAGGUCCAGCCUGAAAGGGGUUAAGCAACUUCCUCAAGGUCACCCAACAUGUGGAUGCAGCCAAACUGGGAUUCCAGCUCUACUCUGGGUGGCAUCGAGGGAGUAUGUUGUCCCAUGCUUAAAACAUGGCUGGUCUCAACCCAGACUCAGAAAGACAAACAUGGUAUGUACUCACUCAUAGCAGGAUACUAGACAUGAAACAAGGAUGACUUGUCUGCUACUCACAUCACCAGGGAGGCUACCUGGAAAACAGGACCCCAAGAAAGACACAGGGAUCGCCCAAUGACAGAGAAAUGGAAUGAGAUCUACAUGAACAGCCUGGACAUGAGUGGGGGUAAUGAAAGGCGAGGGUUGAGGGAAAGAGAGCUUGGGGGAGCGGGAGAUCCCAGCUGGAUCAACAACAGAGAGGGAGAACAAGGAAUAGGAGACCAUGGUAAAUGAAGACCACAUGAGAAUAGGAAGAAGCAAAGUGCUAGAGAGGCCCACAGAAAUCCACAAAGAUACCCACACAACAGACUGCUGGCAAUGGUCGAGAGACAGCCCGAUCUGACUUACUCUGGUGAUGGGAUGGCCAAACACCCUAAUUGUUGUGCUAGAAACCUCAUCCAACUACUGAGGGAUCUGGAUGCAGAGAUCCAUGACUAGGCCCCGGGUGGAUCUCUGGGAGUCCAAUUAGCGAGAAUGAGGAGGGUUUAUAUGAGCGAGAAUUGUUGAGACCAAGGUUGGAUAAAGCACAGGGACAAAUAGCCAAAUGAAUGGAAACACAUGAACUAUGAACCAAUGGCUGAGGGGUCCCCACUGGAUCAGGCCCUCUGAAAGGGUGAGACAGUUGAUUGGCUUGAUCUGUUUGGGAGGCAUCCAGGCAGUGGGACCAGAUCUUGUGCUCAUUGCAUGAGUUGGCUGUUUAAAACCUGGGGCCUAUGCAGGAUUGUUUGGCUUGGCCUGGGAGGAGGGGACUAGACCUACCUGGACUGAGUCUACCAGGUUGACCUCAGUCUGUGGGGAAGGCUUUGCCCUGGAGG